RNAcentral lists this ribosomal RNA (433 nucleotides) under uncultured bacterium. RNAcentral describes it as "partial 16S ribosomal RNA". It matches the Rfam family "Bacterial small subunit ribosomal RNA", at positions 29 to 507 of the family's 1533-position model. The record is from RNAcentral.
AACGAACGCUGGCGGCAGGCCUAACACAUGCAAGUCGAGCGGACCUUUCGGGGUCAGCGGCGGACGGGUGAGUAACGCGUGGGAAUAUGCCCUUCUCUACGGAAUAGUCCCGGGAAACUGGGGGUAAUACCGUAUACGCCCUUUGGGGGAAAGAUUUAUCGGGGAAGGAUUAGCCCGCGUUGGAUUAGGUAGUUGGUGGGGUAAUGGCCUACCAAGCCGACGAUCCAUAGCUGGUUUGAGAGGAUGAUCAGCCACACUGGGACUGAGACACGGCCCAGACUCCUACGGGAGGCAGCAGUGGGGAAUCUUAGACAAUGGGGGCAACCCUGAUCUAGCCAUGCCGCGUGAGUGAUGAAGGCCUUAGGGUUGUAAAGCUCUUUCAGCUGGGAAGAUAAUGACGGUACCAGCAGAAGAAGCCCCGGCUAACUCCGUG